Molecule: long non-coding RNA, 5894 nt
Organism: Oncorhynchus keta (chum salmon)
Lineage: Eukaryota; Metazoa; Chordata; Actinopteri; Salmoniformes; Salmonidae
Exons: 4
Source: RefSeq, a predicted model, not a curated record
CUCUGAGACUGUCUGGAGUCUGUCUGAAACUGAUAAAAUUGGAGAGGGAGUUAAGGCUCUAGCUAUGUAAAUUGAUAAGAACUCAUGAAUUCGAAAUGGGAAUUUACAGUCACUCAACAAUGCUAGCGAUUGAAUUACGACGCAAUGCAAAUCAAUAUUUAGGCUCAUGCUUUGAAAGUUUUUUCAAUGUUUAUCACCAGACAGACAAUUCAUUAUGCACAGGUAUGAUCUUCGGUUCUGAAAAGAAGCCUAUCAGCUGAAGUUUAAGCGUAACGUGGCAUUUCAAUGGAACAAUUAUUUGAAAGGGGGCCCUUAUGACACCUUGAACCCCGUCGAUAACCCCCCCCAUGUCUGUAGUGAUGACACUUUUCCAGGGAUGAUGGAUUUUCUGAGACGUCACAAGAAGUUACUGCCAUGGAUCGAGAACCUCAACUACAAAAGGUGACGAUGCACAGGGAAAGAUUUGUGAAUGGAAGCUAGAUCAUAGAUCACAUGGGCUGUGAGACCGUUGCAGUGGUGUAAAGUACUUAAGUAAAACUACUUUAAAGUACUUAAAGUAAAGUACUACCUAAAAGUACUACUUUACUAUUUAUAUUUUUGCCAACUUUUACUUUUACUUCACUACAUUCCUAAAGAAAAUAAUGUACUUUUUAUCCAAACAUUUUCCCUGACACCCAAAAGUACUCGUAACAUUUUGACAGGAAAAUGGUCAAAUUUACACACUUAUCAAGAGAACAUCCCUGGUCAUCCCUACUGCCUCUUAUCUGGUGGAUUCACUAAACACAAAUGCUUCAUUUGUACGUUUUGUCAGAGUGUUGGAGUGUGCCCCUGGCUAUCCAUCCCCCCAAAAUAACCGUGCUGUCUGUCUGGUUUGCUUAAUAUAAGGAAUUUGAAAUGGUUUAUACUUUUACUUUUGAUACUUAAGUAUAUUUAAAACCAAAUACUUUUAGACUUUUACUCAAGUGGGAUUUUACUUGGCGACUCACUUUUACUUGAGUCAUUUUCUAUUAAGGUAUCUUUACUUUUACUGAAGUAUGAUAUUUGAAUACUUUUUCCACCACUGGACGGUUGCAGAUGUGGAUUAUUCGCCACCCUCCCUCUCCCUCUCCUACCCCGGUCACCGUUCCUCCCUAUGAAUGGGGUCGCUAAGAUAUCAGCUCUGUCACCGGGGUCGGCCCAAAGCCGCCAACUUCCGGUGCCCUUUAAAACCGGAAAGCACGCCUCGCUAUUUGAAUAAUCUGUAUAAUUUCUGUGGUUUGUUUCGGUGAGAGCUGUUUUUUCUUCUUCAUCCUAGGUCACUCAAGAACAGAACAGUAAUAUCACAGUCAAAUCCACACGCCAUCAAUCCUUCCCUAAAACAUCCCCGUCUUUGUUUUAGCAUAUUCUUAGUAGCCUAACUGAGUUUUUCCAGAUUUCUAUGAAAUAUGACCUAUAAUUAAUUACAACAUGAGUGAAAUAGUUUUCCUUCCAUUUAAAAAAAAAAAUUAAGUAUGCAGGUUUCAUGUGUUUGAAUGGUGUGGGCAUACCCUACCACAACAACAGAAUGAUUUGGGCAUAUAAGGCUACCCUGUCAUGAAAAAUAUUUAAUGCGAGCAGAUUGCUGAUUGAGCAGCUCAGCCAAUGAGCAACAUGAGCCGUCAUGUUCUAUGAGGAAGCAUUUUUUAAACGUCUGUUUGAGAUAUUACAGGUUAGCGUUUUUCGUGGUGGAUCUUGUUCUGGAGGCAGCUCUGCAGUGUGGUUACUAGCAGGCCCAACCACAAAGUAAUACGAUCACAUUUUAAACCUAAAGUACACUGCUAACCCUAAUGCCUAACCAUAACCUGAAAUUAUGACCAAAAAGUGAAAUUCUGUUUCUUGCAUUUUUACAAUAUUGCCAAUGUUGACUUUGCUGCUUGCCCAUCUAGCGGGAAUCGCUCAGUUCUGCCUCAAGGACAAGACUCAUCCCAAUAAACGUCAACCUGCGCUUGAGAUACAUGUUUAUCUGUGGUGAUGUUUUUAAAGUGUGUUUUUUUCUUCUUCAAUUUAUGGUUUGGUCACAAAAACUAGUAUAGGACGAGUCAACAACAUUAUUUGGAUAUGAGUUCACAAAAUUGUAACUUUUAAAAGUGAGAUUUUCAUGGGACAGUUUACUUUAACUCAAAGUUAUUCAAAGGUGGAGUGUAGCCUGUGUGACGGGACCAGAGGUUAUAGCAUAUAUUAAAGCUCCAAAAUCCAGCUUCGAUUCUAUACCCUAUUGUGUAGCCUAAAUUGUUAGAAGGGUGUCCCGUCCCCGUCCAUUGUUUUAGGAUAAAUGUUUCCUCAAGCACACGGACCGCGUCACCGUCGGGGUCGUGUCAACCGAAUGGAGAUCAUUUAUAGGUUCAAUAACUCUUAAUCCGUCUGAUCGCCCUGGUGUAGAUAAGCCUCAUUUGAAUUGGGAUUGUUCUGGAAUCUUUUCGGAUUUCAGCAUAGUGGUCCUAAUUGAGUUUACCGCAGCCUUGACUGCUGCAUACCCCGAACACAAUUAAGGUCUUGCUCAGAUAAAAGCUAACUGAAUGCCAGUCCCGUCUAGAAAGAAUGCACUUUUUCAACAGUAUAUUCGUUAGACGUUUAUCUCUUUGGGGAAGAUGAUGUGUAAUGAAGCGUUAUAAUGGCGUAUAGCCUAUACAUCAAACUAUAAACCGCAAUGCUAUAUUGACUGAUGCGAUCAACGCAAGUUUUAUUUCAUUUUUAAAUUCUUCUUUACAUAUUUUAAAGAUGUUUUUUGAGUUUAAGAUGCAAACAAUUUUGGGGGUAAGCAAUUUCUAGCUUUGGUAAAAUCAGUGUCCUCUAUUUAAAGUUUAGAGCCACAAGAAACACAAUAAGUAUGGUGGUAAUAUGGCCCAUAUUUGAAACUUAAUUCCUUCCUUAGCUGAAGUAGGCCCAAGGCUAUCCUAAAAAGUGCCAUGGAUGUAGGUCUAAAAGCAAUGCUGUGCUAGGCCUAUAUGUUAAGGGGGACAUGUUGCUAACAGCUUUGCUUCCUUCACUGUCCGACUGCCACAUACUGGUUUCGAACCAGUGAUCCUCUGCUUCGCAUCGCAUUGACAACGUUCCAACGGGUUGAGCCGCCCAGAAGGUACCAAUUAGACGGUUCCAUCCGCAAUAUUUGUGGAGUGAGCUUAAAGUACAUUCUUAACUCUGUUACACAUGCCCCUCUUCCAUAAGAUGAAUGUAAAACUGCGAUCACACGCAUUUUUCUUUAAUUGGUGGUGAAUGUUUUUCGCUGUCAAUCAAUACUCAACGCAAAGACAACAUGCUUGUAAUAUAUAUAUAUAUAUUUUGCAAAAGCAUCAGGCUAUGAUUUCAGGUCUAAUUUGAUAUUUUUCUAAUGUGGUCAGAAAUCCUGUUAAAGUGUGUUCCAAAAGAAUACAGAAGGCUGUGCUGUCAUUGUCAUAUGCGUUUAUAUUUAUGACAAUUGAACCAAUAACUUAUAAUAAUUAUUUCUAAAAUAAAUUGAGCUUAUUUCAGUAUGAACAGUGUUGUAUUCAAUCGAGGUAUAUCAUACCACAAAUAUGCCUAUGUGUACAAAUAUAGGAUUACAUUGACUAAUUUAAGUUUUAAUGUCAGGGUCAAAUGCAGAUAACACUUUACAUCUUUAGUCUAUUGUGUUUUUCGAGUAUAUAUAAAACUUAUAUAACACUUAAUAGUUUGAGUUCCACUCAUAGCCUUUAAGGAAACUUUGUAUGGGCCAUAAAUGUCUGGUGGUAAAAAGUAGUCAACCAGUCUACAGUGUAGCCUAAUGGAAAGGUUUAGGAUUCGCUUGAGUGCUAUGUAAGUUUACUUUUAGUAACAUUUGACUAAAUUGCUAUAAUUUUUCCAAUAUUUUUUAAAUUCAAGAUUUAUUGGAUUUCAUAUUGUAGGCCGAUUUCACCAUCACUCUUGGAGCCUUGCCAUGUUGACGUUUGCAUUCUCCAAUGGUAACAUAUAGUCUUCCUCGCCAUGUUGCUGAACACCAAAGCUCGCCUACGCUCCUACACACAUCUACGUUUAUACAGCCGGACAGCCAGACGUUUCACGUGUCACGACGUCUUACUUGUGACAGUAAAGAAUAAACGACACGUGGUGGCUUUAGACUCUGUCAUAUAGAACAAAUAUCAUGCAAGGGGACGGGACACUUUAUGAACUUGGUUAAUGGCAAUUGGCACUGAACAUUUGCUCACUAAUAAAACCACGUCGAGCGGAACAAUAUACCCGUGUAAAUGUAAACAUGCUGAAAGAUCGACUGCACACAAGUCCAAUAUCAAUAAAGUAGAGGUAUUUUAGGUUACCUGUUUCAACUUCUAUAACUUCUAUGGCGGGCUACCGCCCACGCAUAUGGCCCUAGAAUCCUUGCCUGUUAUACUGCAGUAACCCAGAUGCCUUGCGCGUUUUAGAUGAUCGAAAUGCCUCGUACACCUGUCCAAGGGGGUCUGCAAUUGAUUACAAGGGACCACGACAAGUGGACAGCUGGGGAAGCACUUGUUACUCAAAAGCCACUUCCACAAGACUAUUGACUCAAUGUAUUGGUAACUGCAACUGCUUAAAGUUGGUAAAAUGGUGUAAAAAGUUGUAAUUUUGUAAAGUAAUUAGGCCUAAAGUAUGCAUAAAGGAUUUGCGUAAACCAUUUAUCAUAGGUUAUCGAUAAUGGUUAUGCUAAAAGUUAUUGGCAACUAUCGAAUAUGUAUGUACACCGAGAGUUCGGCUAUAGGCUGUUUUGCACCCGACUUGGCCAUUCGACGUCAUAGGUAUUAAAACGUUGCCAUAGUAACUCCAACACAUCAACAAUAAAACACUGAUGUUUUUUAAUAUUUCCACUAGAGAUAUAUUUUUGCUCCAAGCUCAGGUAUAGCCUUAUACAUUUAUAUAGGCCUAAACUCAAAUGAAUUAAUUAGCCUAAAGCAAGUGUAAACGUUAAUGUAACAGCACUGUGGAAUCAGAAAAUGAAAAUAGUACAAAGGGACAAUUUUGUCCUAACCUUAUUAGUGCGUCCUCGUCUGUUUUGGACAAGCACUCUCUCAUCGAAUGUCUCAUCCAGUCACAAAUGUGAGUGGCCAGUUGCGAUAUGCUUUUAAGUCCAGCUUACUUGAACUUAGGAAAGAGGUCAGUCGUUAUGAGAGGCUAUUCGAACCCCCUUCUUGUGUGGCAUCAUGCCCCUGCACUGUCCCCAGUUUUAACUGACCGAAAUAGUGCUGCAGGAUCUCAUGAAAGCACAUUGCUCGAUGACGCACCUUUCACCCCUCUCUCCACCCGAAUUGUUUUUACCCCCAACGGUGAAAUGUGGUGAUGGUGACUUUUACAUCGACAGGUGUUUCUUCGUAAAUGACCUCAGUUCACAACGAUGUUUCAUUACACUGGUGUCAGAGGUGAGAUUAUUAUUAUUGUCUGAUUUAUAACUCUUGAGUGACUUUAAAGAUGAUUUUCGUGAUAAUAAUAUAUGCCUAAUCCGUCUGAUUUUGCAGGUGAUAAACUCGGUAGCAUAUACUAAUCUUGAAUUUGACAUGUGUUGCAUAUGUUAAUACCAUAUGUCACACUUUAAACGAACUAUAACUCAAAAAGCUUUACAGGGCUUAACUUUACAGGGCGUAACUUCUUAAGAGCACAACAUACAUACAAAUAAUACACGUUGACCUAAAUUGUUUCUAAGAAAUUCAUGAAAAGGUAGAGAUGGGAUUGGAAGUUAGUUGCCAAAAAUAAACCAUUGUGAAGGUUUUGUUACUAACACAAUCGGUGCUGAAGUAAUUCUGAAACUUGUAGAAACGUUUUAGUGGUGUUUUUCACUCGAGUGAGAUUUCUAAUCCAUUACACAUGGCCAAUAAAUUAUUACCUAACUUUCUGUACUGGUGCAUGCUUUCCGAGCGUGUGUUCGUUAAAUCACUGACCAAUAAAGUAUCACUCAA